This 456-nucleotide ribosomal RNA is filed under the name uncultured bacterium. RNAcentral describes it as "bacterial SSU rRNA". It matches the Rfam family "Bacterial small subunit ribosomal RNA", at positions 340 to 785 of the family's 1533-position model. The record is from RNAcentral.
UACGGAAGGCAGCAGUGGGGAAUAUUGCACAAUGGGCGAAAGCCUGAUGCAGCUAUGCCGCGUGUAUGAAGAGGGCCUUAGGGUUGUAAAGUACUUUCAGCAGGGAGGAAAGAAAUAAAACUAAUAAUUUAUUUUGUGACGUUACCUGAAGAAGAAGCACCGGCUAACUCCGUGCCAGCAGCCGCGGUAAUACGGAGGGUGCAAGCGUUAAUCAGAAUUACUGGGCGUAAAGAGCGCGUAGGUGGUUUUUUUAAAGUCAGAUGUGAAAUCCCUAGGCUUAACCUAGGAACUGCAUUUUGAAACUGAAAAACUAGAGUAUCGUAGAGGGAGGUAGAAUUCUAGGUGUAGCGGUGAAAUGCGUAGAUAUCUGGAGGAAUACCUGUGGCGAAAGCGGCCUCCUAAACGAAUACUGACACUGAGGUGCGAAAGCGUGGGGAGCAAACAGGGAUUAGAUAC